CCCUUAGAUGUUCUGGGCCGCACGCGUGCUACACUGAGUGGAUCAGCGGGUCAGGUUGCGCGAAAGCGUUUCCUAAUCUUUAAAUCCGCUCGUGAUGGGGAUUGACGGUUGCAAUUUUCUGUCAUGAACGAGGAAUACCUUGUAAGCGCGGGUCAUCAUCCCGCGCUGAAUACGUCCCUGCCCUUUGUACACACCGCCCGUCGCUCCUACCGAUUGAGUGGUCCGGUGAGGCUUUGGGAUCUGAGCGGAAAGAGCGUUUCGCUGUUUCUGCUCGGAAAACUCAGUCGAACCUUAUCAUUGAGAGGAAGGAGAAGUCGUAACA
Molecule: ribosomal RNA, 322 nt
Filed under: uncultured eukaryote
Lineage: Eukaryota
Description: partial 18S ribosomal RNA
Rfam family: Eukaryotic small subunit ribosomal RNA
Source: RNAcentral